UACGUAGGGUGCGAGCGUUAAUCGGAAUUACUGGGCGUAAAGCGUGCGCAGGCGGUUCGUUGUGUCGGUGGUGAAAUCCCCGGGCUUAACCUGGGAAUGGCCAUGGAAACUGGCGAACUGGAGUGCGGCAGAGGGGGGUGGAAUUCCGCGUGUAGCAGUGAAAUGCGUAGAGAUGCGGAGGAACACCGAUGGCGAAGGCAGCCCCCUGGGCUAGCACUGACGCUGAGGCGCGAAAGCGUGGGGAGCAAACGGG
This 253-nucleotide ribosomal RNA is filed under the name uncultured bacterium. RNAcentral's name for it is "partial 16S ribosomal RNA". It matches the Rfam family "Bacterial small subunit ribosomal RNA", at positions 524 to 776 of the family's 1533-position model. The record is from RNAcentral.